UACGGAGGGUGCGAGCGUUGUCCGGAAUCACUGGGCGUAAAGGGCGCGUAGGCGGCGCGACAAGUCAAUGGUGAAAGCCCGAGGCUCAACUUCGGGUCGGCCACUGAUACUGUUGGGCUUGAGCACUGUAGAGGCAGGUGGAAUUCCGGUUGUAGCGGUGGAAUGCGUAGAGAUCCGGAAGAACACCGGUGGCGAAGGCGGCCUGCUGGGCAGUAGCUGACGCUGAGGCGCGACAGCGUGGGGAGCAAACAGG
Molecule: ribosomal RNA, 253 nt
Filed under: uncultured bacterium
Lineage: Bacteria
Description: partial 16S ribosomal RNA
Rfam family: Bacterial small subunit ribosomal RNA
Source: RNAcentral